RNAcentral lists this ribosomal RNA (253 nucleotides) under uncultured bacterium. RNAcentral describes it as "partial 16S ribosomal RNA". It matches the Rfam family "Bacterial small subunit ribosomal RNA", at positions 524 to 776 of the family's 1533-position model. The record is from RNAcentral.
UACGGGGGGUGCGAGCGUUAAUCGGAAUCACUGGGCGUAAAGGGUGCGUAGGUGGUUAAUUAAGUUAGCUGUGAAAUACCUGGGCUUAACCUAGGGAGGUGAGCUAAUACUGAUUAGCUAGAGUAUAGGAGAGGGUAGUGGAAUUUCCGGUGUAGCGGUGAAAUGCGUAGAGAUCGGAAGGAACACCAGUGGCGAAGGCGGCUACCUGGCCGGAUACUGACACUGAGGCACGAAAGCGUGGGGAGCAAACAGG